Molecule: ribosomal RNA, 473 nt
Filed under: uncultured bacterium
Lineage: Bacteria
Description: partial 16S ribosomal RNA
Rfam family: Bacterial small subunit ribosomal RNA
Source: RNAcentral
GAUAAACGCUGGCGGCGCACAUAAGACAUGCGAGUUGAACGGACUUAAUCGAAAUAUUUCUAUUUUGAAGCGGUUAGUGGCGGACUGGUGAGUAACGCGUAAGGAACCUGCCUAUUAGAGGGGAAUAACAGUGAGAAAUCAUUGCUAAUACCGCAUAUGCCAUAGAUAUCACAUGAUAACAGUGGGAAAGGAGCAAUCCGCUAAUAGAUGGCCUUGCGUCUGAUUAGAUAGUUGGUGGGGUAACGGCCUACCAAGUCGACGAUCAGUAGCCGGACUGAGAGGUUGAACGGCCACAUUGGGACUGAGAUACGGCCCAGACUCCUACGGGAGGCAGCAGUCGGGAAUAUUGCGCAAUGGAGGAAACUCUGACGCAGUGACGCCGCGUAUAGGAAGAAGGUUUUCGGAUUGUAAACUAUUGUCGUUAGGGAAGAGAAAGGACAGUACCUAAGGAGGAAGCUCCGGCUAACUACGUG